This 468-nucleotide ribosomal RNA is filed under the name uncultured bacterium. Its description in RNAcentral is "partial 16S ribosomal RNA". It matches the Rfam family "Bacterial small subunit ribosomal RNA", at positions 28 to 507 of the family's 1533-position model. The record is from RNAcentral.
GACGAACGCUGGCGGCGUGCUUAACACAUGCAAGUCGAACGGAAAGGCCCUGCUUUUGUGGGGUGCUCGAGUGGCGAACGGGUGAGUAACACGUGAGUAACCUGCCCUCGACUUUGGGAUAACUUCAGGAAACUGGGGCUAAUACCGGAUAGGAGCUCCUGCUGCAUGGUGGGGGUUGGAAAGUUUCGGCGGUUGGGGAUGGACUCGCGGCUUAUCAGCUUGUUGGUGGGGUAGUGGCUUACCAAGGCUUUGACGGGUAGCCGGCCUGAGAGGGUGACCGGCCACAUUGGGACUGAGAUACGGCCCAGACUCCUACGGGAGGCAGCAGUGGGGAAUAUUGCACAAUGGGCGGAUGCCUGAUGCAGCAACGCCGCGUGCGGGAUGACGGCCUUCGGGUUGUAAACCGCUUUCGCCUGUGACGAAGCGUGAGUGACGGUAAUGGGUAAAGAAGCACCGGCUAACUACGUG